GUCCUUUUACGGGGACAUCCUGGGCUCUGUCCUUUUUAUCUUUUUCGGAUUUUUUCUGUUCAAUCGCAUGAAUGAUUAACCCACAUAGUGAAAGAAAAUCAAGAAAAUGGUUUUCCCAUCAGUAAUUAUGGAAGCAAAGCAUGGAAUGUACAUGGGGUCUUCAGUUUUAUGAACAAUUUCUUAAUUUUUUAUGUUUUUAAUUCAUUGGAAGCAGAGUUACAGAACUUUCCAUCUAAAUUAUAGGAGAGGAUUCAAUUGGCCAUUGACGUCCAAGACUUGGACCUUUUAGUUAAUUCCUUUAUUGAUAGAGAAUAACAUAUUUCUCAAAUGCUGAGCUUUACUAGGGCAAGAACUCAGCAGAGAUCUAAUAGAUCUAUGUCUUUAGGAGGCAUGGAUUAUGCCGACCCGAAGAAGAAGAGCAAUAUACUAGGAAAAAUUCUAAUGGCUGCUACCCUCACAGCAAUGUGUAUUCUUAUGCUCAAGCAAUCCCCAAAUUUUAAUUCCCCUAGCCAAGUAACUCUCUAGUCCCUUAUCAUUUUCAGUGCUUGGUUUUGUUGUUAAGCUUUCUGAGAAAGAAAAAAAGAUUGAAUUACCUGUUCCUUAAAAUUGUUAUCACUAUGCGUUGUUUGAAAAAACAUCGAGGCUUACGCAUCGAAUCCCACCUCUCAUGAGGCUAUCAUAAAAUGCCUCAAAACCAGCACCUUGAAUGCCAUUUGUGAGGCUUAUGCCUCAAUUUGCUAAGGCUAAUGCCUCAAGCACGAGCCUUACGCCAACUAAGGUGUUUGCCCCUAUUUUCAAACAUUUAAUUGUCGACGGUAGCUUUUUGAGUUAUUUCUUUAUAAGUUGAUAACUAAAAUAUUUUUCGCACUCUUUUAUUUUGUUUUUUCUACCUACAUGGAAGAAAAUGAGGAGGAGAAUAUACCAGUGCACUUAGAGGAUGAUGACAAAAAAUGAAAAGAAACGUGUAAUGAGGAUGCAGAUGUUAAUGACUCCCUUGACGAUAAUAUUAGUAGUGAAGAUAUAUGAAAUUCUUGAGUUGUCUCCAUUUUUAGUAAUAAAUUAAAUUUUGUUGCACAAGACGACGGAAACAAAUUUAGAUAGCCCUAUGUGGCUUCUAGAUCUACUUGUUAUUGUAUUUGAGAACUUAUUAUUUUCUAUGUUCUUGAUCUAUUUUAACUUUGUUUGCAACUUAGACUUUUGAUUUUGUUGGUUAUUGACCUCGGAUUUUGUACCUCUAGUGUGGCCAACAGAUCCCAAGGUUUCUCAUGUCCACACAAGCUUGAUUUUUGCACACUUUGACAAACCGUUAGCCAUACGUGGCUUUCUGGGGGGUAAAGUUGGUUGUGCGCACUCUGAUGAUUAAGUCAAUUGUAGUAGUAUAUAUUGGUGUGGGAGGUGUUUUAGACGCGAGCCUCCAAUAUAAAAAGGCGGUUGGCUUUGUGGCAUUUUGUGAUAAUAAUAGUGAGGAUAGCAGAGUUGUAGUUUGAGAGUCUGAACUUGUAUUACCUUUGGAAUGUCACUUUAUGUGAGAUUUUAUAAUAGAAUAGGAUCAAUGUCGAUUGUAAAAUGAAAGGAUACGUGGCCUCAUCUGUGCGGCUAAGACCUCUUGUUAAAGCUAUCAAUUAAUCAUAAGUAUUGAAUGCUAAUACCAUUUUGUUGCCCAUAAAUCUGACACAUGACUUAGUAAUGACCUGAUUUGCUGGAUAGGGAGGUGGUAGCA
Molecule: long non-coding RNA, 1720 nt
Organism: Olea europaea var. sylvestris
Lineage: Eukaryota; Viridiplantae; Streptophyta; Magnoliopsida; Lamiales; Oleaceae
Exons: 3
Source: RefSeq, a predicted model, not a curated record